Molecule: transfer RNA, 76 nt
Filed under: Alphaproteobacteria bacterium
Lineage: Bacteria; Pseudomonadati; Pseudomonadota; Alphaproteobacteria
Also listed under: 1 other name
Description: tRNA-Glu
Rfam family: tRNA
About the family: Transfer RNA (tRNA) molecules are approximately 80 nucleotides in length.
Source: RNAcentral
GUCCCCUUCGUCUAGAGGCCUAGGACACCACCCUCUCACGGUGAGAACACGGGUUCAAAUCCCGUAGGGGACGCCA